AAGUCGUAACAAGGUUUCCGUAGGUGAACCUGCGGAAGGAUCAUUAAUCUAUAACGUCGGGGGCCGGGCUUGGAUCGUGGACCCUUGCGGACCGCGUUCCUCCCCGCCCUGUCUGAAUAUACCCAUGAUUUUUGCGUACUAAUUGUUUCCUCGGUGGGCUUGCCCGCCAGUAGGACAUUAUAAAACCUGUUGUAAUUGCAGUCAGCGUCAGAAAAACCUAAUCGUUACAACUUUCAACAACGGAUCUCUUGGUUCUGGCAUCGAUGAAGAACGCAGCGAAAUGCGAUAAGUAGUGUGAAUUGCAGAAUUCAGUGAAUCAUCGAAUCUUUGAACGCACAUUGCGCCCCUUGGUAUUCCAUGGGGCAUGCCUGUUCGAGCGUCAUUUGUACCCUCAAGCUUUGCUUGGUGCUGGGUGUUUGUCCUGCUUUGUGCGUGGACUCGCCUUAAAUGAAUUGGCAGCCGGCAAUAUGGUGUUGGAGCGCAGCACAUUUUGCGCUUCGUCCCAUGGAUGUCGGCGUCCAUUAAGUCUAUAUUUUUGCUCUUGACCUCGGAUCAGGUAGGGAUACCCGCUGAACUUAAGCAUAUCAAUAAGCGGAGGAAAAGAAACCAACAGGGAUUGCCUUAGUAACGGCGAGUGAAGCGGCAACAGCUCAAAUUUGAAAUCUGGCUCUUUCAGAGUCCGAGUUGUAAUUUGCAGAGGGCGCUUUGGCGUUAGCAGCGGUCCAAGUUCCUUGGAACAGGUCGUCACAGAGGGUGAGAAUCCCGUACGUGGUCGCUAGUUUUCGCCGUGUAAAGCCCCUUCGACGAGUCGAGUUGUUUGGGAAUGCAGCUCUAAAUGGGAGGUAAAUUUCUUCUAAAGCUAAAUACUGGCCAGAGACCGAUAGCGCACAAGUAGAGUGAUCGAAAGAUGAAAAGCACUUUGGAAAGAGAGUCAAAUAGCACGUGAAAUUGUUGAAAGGGAAGCGCUUGCAGCCAGACUUGCCUGUAGUUGCUCAUCCGGGCUUUUGCCCGGUGCAUUCUUCUAUAGGCAGGCCAGCAUCAGUUUGGGCGGUUGGAUAAAGGUCUCUGUCAUGUACCUCCUUUCGGGGAGGCCUUAUAGGGGAGGCGACAUGCAACCAGCCUGGACUGAGGUCCGCGCAUCUGCUAGGAUGCUGGCGUAAUGGCUGUAAGCGGCC
This 1175-nucleotide ribosomal RNA is filed under the name uncultured fungus. RNAcentral's name for it is "eukaryotic LSU rRNA". The stretch from base 543 to 1175 matches the Rfam family "Eukaryotic large subunit ribosomal RNA", at positions 1 to 649 of the family's 3401-position model. The record is from RNAcentral. Lineage: Eukaryota; Fungi.